UAAGCGAAUAGUGAAAUGUGGCGGCUCAACCGUACACACUAUUAUUCGAACUGCUCGUCUCGAGAAUGGUAGAGGUAACUGGAAUUUCUUGUGUAGGAGUGAAAUCCGUAGAUAUAAGAAGGAACACCAAUGGCGUAGGCAGGUUACUGGACCAUUUCUGACACUGAGGCACGAAAGCGUGGGGAGCGAACCGGAUUAGAUACCCGGGUAGUCCACGCCGUAAACUAUGGAUACUA
RNAcentral lists this ribosomal RNA (236 nucleotides) under uncultured Candidatus Saccharibacteria bacterium. RNAcentral's name for it is "partial 16S ribosomal RNA". It matches the Rfam family "Bacterial small subunit ribosomal RNA", at positions 584 to 818 of the family's 1533-position model. Lineage: Bacteria; Candidatus Saccharimonadota. The record is from RNAcentral.